Molecule: unclassified non-coding RNA, 1735 nt
Filed under: Leishmania donovani
Lineage: Eukaryota; Euglenozoa; Kinetoplastea; Trypanosomatida; Trypanosomatidae
Description: gene:LdHU3.30.4890(CDS-product:Protein_of_unknown _function_(DUF773)_putative)
Source: RNAcentral
GUGCGCACGUGUGCAGGGUGGGGUCGAACUUCACGAUCAGAUUCUGCUGUUAAGUGGGUUUGCCGCAUCCUGCGAGCACUCCUGCUCGUACGACUUCUCUUAUACUGCGGCAGAGCGAAGACAGGGUAUUUCAUUAGUGUGAAGGGUUCCGCAAGCUACGCUCAUGACGUCGCAGCCGAUCUCUAUUCACUACAAGCAGAUGGAGGAGUGGCUGGAGGAUCGCAAGUCCGUUUUUUCUCGAAAGCACAAGAGUGAGUACAAUGCAUUGUUGUCCGUAGCCCCUCGACUCGUGCAGAUGGCGCAGUAUGACAUCCCAGCACUCGAGAAGCAGAUCAAGAAGAACGAGAACGCUAUCGAGGACUGUCACCGGGUCUGCGAGGAGGCGCAGCGCACACAGCUCAAGCUGGUAGAGAGGCGGCGCGCCAUGCUGAGGGAGUACGGAAUCGAGCUCGCUGCCGCUGUCGGGGAAGUCGAGGUCGCCUUCGCGGUCGAUCAGCGUGUGAGGGAAGCGUGCGCGCAAGUGAACGCCGCCUUUCAAGAGUACGCUCGUGCCCGUGUGAGGGCGCUGAAGGAGUACUACAACGCUCUUUUGGCGAGAACUGCGGCUGGGUGGUACGGCACGGACCCAUUUGCUUUCCACUUUCCUUGGCUCCAGCGCGCUUUCAGUGAGGCGGAGUACCAGCCCGCGGAUGCCUUGUCUGAGGCUACCGACGCCGGUGGUGAGGCGGCCGAUGCGGCAGAACCUCAAAUUGACUGGGGCGACGAUGACGACGGCGCGGCGGGGACGUUCGCAGGGCUGGGGAAGGAUGCCGUGCAGAUCAACUGGGAUGCUACUGAAAUGGAAGCCCGCCCCGUAGAGGACGACAGUCUACCAGCGACAGAUGGGCUGCAUUUCUCAAUUGAUCUUGCUUCUGCAAAGCAUCGCGCCAAUGUAAUGUCAGAGCUGGAGGCAGCAUCGUGCUUCUGCCGCGAGCGCGGCACCGCGGACCUGCUGGAGUGCGCCACGGAGACGGAGGCGUUGCGCCGCUUUCUCUCAAGCGCCAAAGAAGGUGAGCUCGCUCGUAUGAAGGAGAGCUACCGCGCGCGGGGCAGCUUUGUGGAUCGAAUCACCCGUUUCCAGCAGCAGAUUGUGGUGGCCGAAAACCGCUCCACGACGCACCAGGCGAAGAUGCAGGAUGCCGAAGACGACCUGGCAAAGUUGAAAGUGCAGCAGGAUGAGCUGCUGUCACGUCUGAGGAGCAUGCGGGAUGAGGCGCUCACCAACCUGGAACACAUGUUCCCAGAUCGCAGGAUCCUCAUCGUUGGCGACCUGAACAAGUACUUGGCGUGAUGCACCAUUGCAGUUGCAGCGCUUUUUCAUCUCCAAUGAGAGUUUUCGUGUAUGCAUGUGUGUGGUGCGCGCAGCUCGGGCGGUAGGCGUGGUGUGUAGUCGUUGGCGCGUAGGUUUCGUUGGCGCCGCGUUCUGUUAGCGACGUGCUCUUUGGCACCGUGUGAGUUGCUCCUCUUUCUCCGGUUCUCUGAUGCGUGCAUCCUUUUUCUUCUGCCAGAUGUCGGUCGGCUGGUGUGAAGGCUCUCUAUAUAUUUCUUCUCCACGCGAUCGUAGAGUCCGCACUCUCUCCCUCUCACUCGUGGAGCGCGCGGAGGAGAGAGACUCACGAUCCGCCUCUCUUCCUCUUUGCAAGUGUGCUCGAUUUUUUUUUCCAUUUGCCGGGAUGAGUGUGUCGCGCUUCUGGUG